Molecule: unclassified non-coding RNA, 353 nt
Filed under: soil metagenome
Description: partial contains 5.8S ribosomal RNA, internal transcribed spacer 2, and large subunit ribosomal RNA
Rfam family: 5.8S ribosomal RNA (bases 1-121)
Source: RNAcentral
GAUGAAGAACGUAGCGAAAUGCGAUAAGUAAUGCGAAUUGCAGAAUUUCCGUGAGUCAUCGAAUCUUUGAACGCACAUUGCGCCCGCCAGUAUUCUGGCGGGCAUGCCUGUUCGAGCGUCAUUACAACCCUCAGGCCCCCGGGCCUGGCGUUGGGGAUCGGCGGAAGCCCCCUGUGGGCACACGCCGUCCCUCAAAUACAGUGGCGGUCCCGCCGCAGCUUCCAUUGCGUAGUAGCUAACACCUCGCAACUGGAGAGCGGCGCGGCCAUGCCGUAAAACACCCAACUUCUGAAUGUUGACCUCGAAUCAGGUAGGAAUACCCGCUGAACUUAAGCAUAUCAAUAAGCGGAGGA